RNAcentral lists this ribosomal RNA (477 nucleotides) under uncultured bacterium. Its description in RNAcentral is "partial 16S ribosomal RNA". It matches the Rfam family "Bacterial small subunit ribosomal RNA", at positions 30 to 507 of the family's 1533-position model. The record is from RNAcentral.
AUUGAACGCUGGCGGCAUGCCUUACACAUGCAAGUCGAACGGUAACAGGUUAAGCUGACGAGUGGCGAACGGGUGAGUAAUACAUCGGAACGUGCCCAGUAGUGGGGGAUAGCCCGGCGAAAGCCGGAUUAAUACCGCAUACGACCUAAGGGUGAAAGGGGGGGAUCGCAAGACCUCUCGCUAUUGGAGCGGCCGAUGUCAGAUUAGCUAGUUGGUGGGGUAAAAGCUCACCAAGGCGACGAUCUGUAGCUGGUCUGAGAGGACGACCAGCCACACUGGGACUGAGACACGGCCCAGACUCCUACGGGAGGCAGCAGUGGGGAAUUUUGGACAAUGGGCGCAGGCCUGAUCCAGCCAUGCCGCGUGCGGGAAGAAGGCCUUCGGGUUGUAAACCGCUUUUGUCAGGGAAGAAAUCCUUUGGGUUAAUACCUCGGGGGGAUGACGGUACCUGAAGAAUAAGCACCGGCUAACUACGUG